This 1224-nucleotide long non-coding RNA is filed under the name Ornithorhynchus anatinus (platypus). Its description in RNAcentral is "lncRNA (ENSOANG00000047166.1)". The record is from RNAcentral. Lineage: Eukaryota; Metazoa; Chordata; Mammalia; Monotremata; Ornithorhynchidae.
AUGUUCCGGAGCUACAAUUUGCGCUCGCUUGUUCCUUCCCUCCCCCCUUCUCUCCCUCUCUCCCUUCUUUUCCUUUCUCCCCCCUUCUCUCCCUCUCCUCCCUCCCCCUUCUUUUCCUCCCUUUCCCUCUUCUCCUCCCUUUUCUCCCUUCCCUCUUCUUCCCCUCCCUCCCAUUCUUUCCCUGCCUCCCCCUUUUUUCCCUCCCUCCUUUUCUCCCUUCCCCCUUGUUUCCCUCCCUCCCCCCUUCUUUUCCUGCCUCCCCCUUCUUUCCCUCCCUCCUUUUCUCCCUCCCCCUUCUUCCCCUCCCUCCUUUUCUCCCUUCCCCCUUGUUUCCCUCCCUCCCCUCUUCUUUUCCUGCCUCACCCUUCUUUCCCUCCCUACUUUUCUCCCUCCCCCUUCUUCUCCUCCCUCUUUUUCUCCCUUCGCCCUUGUUUCCCUCCCUCCCCCUGGUUUCCCUCCCUCCUUUCCUCCCUUCCCCCUUGUUUCCCUCCCUUCCCCCUUGUUUCCCUCCCUUCCCCCUUUUCUUGCCUCCCCCCUUCUUUCCCUUCCUCCCCUUCUUUCCCUCCCUUCCUCCCCUUCGUUCCCUCCCUGCCUUCCUCCCCUCCCUCCUUUUCUCCCUCCCCCUUCUUUCCCUCCAUCCCCCUUUCUCCCCCGCCCCCCCAACCCCUUCUCUCCCUCCCCCCUCCGCCUUGUCCCAGGCCGGGGCCCUACCUGCUGCCGCUGCCCCGCGCUCCGGCCACGGUCACCAUCCUCCGGGUUGUACCCCCGCCCCCGUGGCCGCCCGCGGGUUGGGGCGAGGCCGAUGCCUUCUUCUGGGGUCCGGUCCGUCCCGGACGGGGCCGCCCGGAGCCUCCCGGAGCUCGUCACCGAGUGCCUGCGCUCCCGGGCCGCAGCGCAACGCAGAGCAGCGCAGAGCGGGGACGGGCGGGAGCCAAGCGCAGCGCUAAAGCGGGGGCACAGCGACCCCUGGCGGAGGCUGGAACCCAAUGGGGGCGGAGACGGGACGCCUGCAGCUCCCCCUUCCCGGUCAAGCGAUCGAUCGAUCGUAUUGAUUACGCACUUAUUCUGCGCAGAGCGCUGUCAUUCCUUCCUUCCUUCCUUCCUUCCUUCCUUCCUUCCUUCCUUCCUUCCUUCCUUCCUUCCUUCCUUCCUUCCUAUUUAUUGAGCGCUUACUAUGUGCAGAGCACUGUACUAAGCGCUUGGGAAGUACAAAUCGGUAGAUAG